This 497-nucleotide ribosomal RNA is filed under the name uncultured bacterium. Its description in RNAcentral is "partial 16S ribosomal RNA". It matches the Rfam family "Bacterial small subunit ribosomal RNA", at positions 28 to 506 of the family's 1533-position model. The record is from RNAcentral.
GACGAACGCUGGCGGCGUGCCUAAUACAUGCAAGUCGAACGAGAGCGACCGGUGCUUGCACUGGUCAAUCUAGUGGCGAACGGGUGAGUAACACGUGGGUAACCUGCCCAUCAGAGGGGGAUAACAUCCGGAAACGGAUGCUAAAACCGCAUAGGUCUUCGAGCCGCAUGGCUUGAAGAGGAAAAGAGGCGCAAGCUUCUGCUGAUGGAUGGACCCGCGGUGCAUUAGCUAGUUGGUGAGGUAACGGCUCACCAAGGCCGUGAUGCAUAGCCGACCUGAGAGGGUGAUCGGCCACAUUGGGACUGAGACACGGCCCAAACUCCUACGGGAGGCAGCAGUAGGGAAUCUUCCGCAAUGGACGCAAGUCUGACGGAGCAACGCCGCGUGAGUGAAGAAGGUUUUCGGAUCGUAAAACUCUGUUGUUAGAGAAGAACAAGUGCUAGAGUAACUGUUAGCGCCUUGACGGUAUCUAACCAGAAAACCACGGCUAACUACGU